This 330-nucleotide ribosomal RNA is filed under the name uncultured bacterium. RNAcentral describes it as "bacterial SSU rRNA". It matches the Rfam family "Bacterial small subunit ribosomal RNA", at positions 568 to 898 of the family's 1533-position model. The record is from RNAcentral.
UGUGUAGGCGGCUUUCUAAGUUUGUUGUGAAAUCUCCCGGCUUAACCGGGAGGGUGCGGCGAAGACUGGAAGGCUAGAGUAUGGGAUGGGAGAGUGGAACUCCUGGUGUAGCGGUGAAAUGCGUAGAUAUCAGGAGGAACACCUGCGGUGUAGACGGCUCUCUGGACCAUUACUGACGCUGAGACACGAAAGCGUGGGUAGCAAACAGGAUUAGAUACCCUGGUAGUCCACGCCCUAAACGAUGCAUAUUUGGUGUGGGCCAUUCAUUUGGUCCGUGCCGGAGCUAACGCGUUAAAUAUGCCGCCUGGGGAGUACAGUCGCAAGGCUGAA